Molecule: transfer-messenger RNA, 354 nt
Filed under: Spirochaetia
Lineage: Bacteria; Pseudomonadati; Spirochaetota
Also listed under: 1 other name
Description: DTKZ01 sp017998025 X1 Standard tmRNA
Rfam family: transfer-messenger RNA
About the family: Bacterial tmRNA, also known as 10Sa RNA or SsrA, is named for its dual tRNA and mRNA-like properties. Its role is to liberate the mRNA from a stalled ribosome. To accomplish this part of the tmRNA is used as a reading frame that ends in a translation stop signal.
Source: RNAcentral
GGGGGUGCACCGGUUUCGACUGGGAUGAAGGUGUGUCAAGUUGCAGGUGGAGGGCCGAACUCCUAAAAACGGCAAACCAAAUAACUGCCAACGAAGCAGAUUAUCAACUAGCGGCAGCGUAAGCUUGCCGCUACGGGUUCCGGAUACGCGGUCUUGAGGAUCCGAGAACUUGUAAGAAACCAAGACUCUUCAACCAUGGGGUCCGAACCAUGGGAGAGAACCUCUUCGGACUAAGGGCAGAUGCAAGCCUCCGGUUCGCUUGGCUCUGUCCGAUCACUAGAGAACCGGAUAAACCUGUAGAAUGCUUGACGUAUCCAUCCUAGGACGCGGGUUCGAUUCCCGCCACCUCCAGAU